GGGGUUCUGGCUCAAAGGUAGAGUGCUUGCCUAGCAUUCGUGAGGAACUGGGUUCAAUCCUAGGAACCACA
Molecule: transfer RNA, 71 nt
Filed under: Ictidomys tridecemlineatus (thirteen-lined ground squirrel)
Lineage: Eukaryota; Metazoa; Chordata; Mammalia; Rodentia; Sciuridae
Description: Spermophilus tridecemlineatus (thirteen-lined ground squirrel) tRNA
Rfam family: tRNA
About the family: Transfer RNA (tRNA) molecules are approximately 80 nucleotides in length. Their secondary structure includes four short double-helical elements and three loops (D, anti-codon, and T loops).
Source: Rfam by way of RNAcentral